RNAcentral lists this ribosomal RNA (497 nucleotides) under uncultured bacterium. Its description in RNAcentral is "partial 16S ribosomal RNA". It matches the Rfam family "Bacterial small subunit ribosomal RNA", at positions 28 to 507 of the family's 1533-position model. The record is from RNAcentral.
GAUGAACGCUGGCGGCGUGCCUAAUACAUGCAAGUCGAGCGAACAGACGAGGAGCUUGCUCCUCUGACGUUAGCGGCGGACGGGUGAGUAACACGUGGAUAACCUACCUAUAAGACUGGGAUAACUUCGGGAAACCGGAGCUAAUACCGGAUAAUAUAUUGAACCGCAUGGUUCAAUAGUGAAAGACGGUUUUGCUGUCACUUAUAGAUGGAUCCGCGCCGCAUGAGCUAGUUGGUAAGGUAACGGCUUACCAAGGCAACGAUGCGUAGCCGACCUGAGAGGGUGAUCGGCCACACUGGAACGGAGACAGGGUCCAGACUCCUACGGGAGGCAGCAGUAGGGAAUCUGCCGCAAUGGGCGAAAGCCUGACGGAGCAACGCCGCGUGAGUGAUGAAGGUCUUCGGAUCGUAAAACUCUGUUAUUAGGGAAGAACAAAUGUGUAAGUAACUAUGCACGUCUUGACGGUACCUAAUCAGAAAGCCACGGCUAACUACGUG